ACCAGAAGAACGAAAUUGUCCCUCCGUUUUAUCGACACUCCACUCUCCUGUCUCUCGUAGCUUCUUCUCCACCGGUCCCUCAAAUGCACCACCAGAAUUCGGCAACAGACCCUUAAAAAUAGUGUCCCUAUCCCUCUGCUCCGAGCCCAUGGGUUCAGAAUCGCGAUAACUGCCGGCGCCAACGGCACAUUCAAUCUGGAAAAGGGUGAGGCGCUGUUGGAGUUUGGAUUGGCGGCGUUUCGUUCUGGUUUUUGAUUUAGUAGUGGGAAUUGGAGGCUUGCUUUUGUUACUGUGAGAAGGAGUGGUGUUGGAGUGUGGAGGUGAGUGCGGAGGUGGAGAGCCGUCAAUAUUGCUGGAAAAAGCAGCAAAAACCAGUUGCCUGCUCACGCAACGGCAGGAUAAGCAAGCCAUGGCGAGCCUCAC
This 423-nucleotide unclassified non-coding RNA is filed under the name Hevea brasiliensis (rubber tree). The record is from RNAcentral. Lineage: Eukaryota; Viridiplantae; Streptophyta; Magnoliopsida; Malpighiales; Euphorbiaceae.